Molecule: ribosomal RNA, 3007 nt
Filed under: Proteus vulgaris
Lineage: Bacteria; Pseudomonadati; Pseudomonadota; Gammaproteobacteria; Enterobacterales; Morganellaceae
Description: 23S ribosomal RNA
Rfam family: Bacterial large subunit ribosomal RNA
Source: RNAcentral
GGUUAAGCGAAUAAGCGUACACGGUGGAUGCCUAGGCAAUCAGAGGCGAUGAAGGACGUGCUAAUCUGCGAUAAGCGUCGGUAAGGUGAUAUGAACCGUUAUACCCGACGAUUUCCGAAUGGGGAAACCCAAUAUCCAAUGGAUAUUAUCAUUAACUGAAUACAUAGGUUAAUGAAGCGAACCGGGAGAACUGAAACAUCUCAGUACCCCGAGGAAAAGAAAUCAACCGAGAUUCCCCUAGUAGCGGCGAGCGAACGGGGAACAGCCCAGAGUCUUAAUCAACAGCAGCAUCAGGAGAACGGUCUGGAAAGUCCGGCAGUAAAGGGUGAUAGCCCCGUAUCCGAAGAUGCUGUUAUUGUGAACUCGACGAGUAGGGCGGGACACGUGUUAUCCUGUCUGAAUAUGGGGGGACCAUCCUCCAAGGCUAAAUACUCCUGAUUGACCGAUAGUGAACCAGUACCGUGAGGGAAAGGCGAAAAGAACCCCGGCGAGGGGAGUGAAAAAGAACCUGAAACCGUGUACGUACAAGCAGUAGGAGCCCCACCACUAAGCUAGUGGUGAACUCACAGCGAUUCUUUUGCAUGAUAAAGAGCGGUAGACGACGCGAAGUGACGUCCAACCAAUCCAAUCAGGCAGAGGAGGCUUAGUGGUGGGGUGACUGCGUACCUUUUGUAUAAUGGGUCAGCGACUUAUAUUCUGUAGCAAGGUUAACCGAAUAGGGGAGCCGUAGGGAAACCGAGUCUUAACUGGGCGAAUGAGUUGCAGGGUAUAGACCCGAAACCCGGUGAUCUAUCCAUGGGCAGGUUGAAGGUUGGGUAACACUAACUGGAGGACCGAACCGACUAAUGUUGAAAAAUUAGCGGAUGACUUGUGGAUGGGGGUGAAAGGCCAAUCAAACCGGGAGAUAGCUGGUUCUCCCCGAAAGCUAUUUAGGUAGCGCCUCGUGAACUCAUCUUCGGGGGUAGAGCACUGUUUCGACUAGGGGGUCAUCCCGACUUACCAACUCGAUGCAAACUGCGAAUACCGAAGAAUGUUAUCACGGGAGACACACGGCGGGUGCUAACGUCCGUCGUGAAGAGGGAAACAACCCAGACCGCCAGCUAAGGUCCCAAAGUCAUGGUUAAGUGGGAAACGAAGUGGGAAGGCUCAGACAGCCAGGAUGUUGGCUUAGAAGCAGCCAUCAUUUAAAGAAAGCGUAAUAGCUCACUGGUCGAGUCGGCCCGCGCGGAAGAUGUAACGGGGCUAAACCAUGCACCGAAGCUGCGGCAGCAACACUAAGUGUUGUUGGGUAGGGGAGCGUUCUGUAAGCCUGCGAAGGUGUACUGUGAGGUAUGCUGGAGGUAUCAGAAGUGCGAAUGCUGACAUAAGUAACGAUAAUGCGGGUGAAAAACCCGCACGCCGGAAGACCAAGGGUUCCUGUCCAACGUUAAUCGGGGCAGGGUGAGUCGACCCCUAAGGCGAGGCUGAAAAGCGUAGUCGAUGGGAAACGGGUUAAUAUUCCCGUACUGGUGGUAACUGCGAUGGGGGAACGGAGAAGGCUAGGUUGUCCGGGCGACGGUCGUCCCGGUUCAAGCAUGUAGGCAGAGUGAUUAGGCAAAUCCGGUCACUUAAUGCUGAGGUGUGAUGACGAGCCACUAAGGUGGUGAAGCAAUUGAUGCCCUGCUUCCAGGAAAAGCCUCUAAGCUUCAGGUUACCAACAAUCGUACCCCAAACCGACACAGGUGGUCAGGUAGAGAAUACUCAGGCGCUUGAGAGAACUCGGGUGAAGGAACUAGGCAAAAUGGUGCCGUAACUUCGGGAGAAGGCACGCUGGCGGUAAGUGAAGUCCCUCGCGGACGGAGCCGAAGCCAGUCGAAGAUACCAGCUGGCUGCAACUGUUUAUUAAAAACACAGCACUGUGCAAACACGAAAGUGGACGUAUACGGUGUGACGCCUGCCCGGUGCUGGAAGGUUAAUUGAUGGGGUUAUCCUUAGGGAGAAGCUCUUGAUCGAAGCCCCAGUAAACGGCGGCCGUAACUAUAACGGUCCUAAGGUAGCGAAAUUCCUUGUCGGGUAAGUUCCGACCUGCACGAAUGGCGUAAUGAUGGCCAGGCUGUCUCCACCCGAGACUCAGUGAAAUUGAACUCGCUGUGAAGAUGCAGUGUACCCGCGGCAAGACGGAAAGACCCCGUGAACCUUUACUAUAGCUUGACACUGAACAUUGAGCCUUGAUGUGUAGGAUAGGUGGGAGACUAUGAAGUGUGGACGCCAGUCUGCAUGGAGUCAACCUUGAAAUACCACCCUUUAACGUUUGAUGUUCUAACCUAGGCCCGUAAUCCGGGUCGGGGACCGUGUCUGGUGGGUAGUUUGACUGGGGCGGUCUCCUCCUAAAGAGUAACGGAGGAGCACGAAGGUUGGCUAAGCAUGGUCGGACAUCAUGCGGUUAGUGCAAAGGCAUAAGCCAGCUUGACUGUGAGAGUGACGGCUCGAGCAGGUACGAAAGUAGGUCUUAGUGAUCCGGUGGUUCUGAAUGGAAGGGCCAUCGCUCAACGGAUAAAAGGUACUCCGGGGAUAACAGGCUGAUACCGCCCAAGAGUUCAUAUCGACGGCGGUGUUUGGCACCUCGAUGUCGGCUCAUCACAUCCUGGGGCUGAAGUAGGUCCCAAGGGUAUGGCUGUUCGCCAUUUAAAGUGGUACGCGAGCUGGGUUUAGAACGUCGUGAGACAGUUCGGUCCCUAUCUGCCGUGGGCGUUGGAAGAUUGAGAGGGGUUGCUCCUAGUACGAGAGGACCGGAGUGAACGCACCACUGGUGUUCGGGUUGUCAUGCCAAUGGCAUUGCCCGGUAGCUAAGUGCGGAAGAGAUAACCGCUGAAAGCAUCUAAGCGGGAAACUUGCCUCGAGAUGAGUCUUCCCUGUCACCUUGAGUGACCUAAAGGAACGUUUAAGACUAAGACGUUGAUAGGCUGGGUGUGUAAGCGUAGCGAUACGUUGAGCUAACCAGUACUAAUGAACCGUGAGGCUUAACCUG